Long non-coding RNA from Nylanderia fulva, 1268 nucleotides. RefSeq lists it as uncharacterized. NCBI's taxonomy places the organism in Eukaryota, Metazoa, Arthropoda, Insecta, Hymenoptera, Formicidae. The record is from RefSeq and is a predicted model, not a curated record.
AACGCUAUUGGUAGUAAUGUCAGUACUUGCAGUGCAUAACGGAACGCACCCCAGUUGCAGUUAUCGCCGUUGAAGCGUGGUUCUUUACUUGCCGCUUUCUUUGUGUCAAGAAACACCGAUAUAAAAGUUGAAAUUUGCGACUGGACUGAAACAUUGCCAAUAUCUGAACAUCAAUAUAUACUUGUCAUAUAUAGAUUGGACAAUCAGAUAAUAUAAGCGGAAAAAAGGUAGAGAAAACACUUAGAAAUUAUGCUUAGAUGUGAGUGAAGGAUAAUCACCUCGAUGACCUGUGUCUCCUCGUGAUGGAAUUAUUAAUGUCCGUCCCGGAACAACGAAGGUCCAACUCCUCCUGAAACGGUGAACUGCUACAGACAGUAGAAGUAGGAAAUUGGAUGCAUGAAAGAAGAAGGAAAAUUAAGAGAAGAAAAGAUGUGGACAGAUAUAGGUCACACAAAUAGAUAAAGCUUUUGCAUCCAUUUUGUUUCGCGCGUAUACAAGUGCGGAUGGUUAAUGCAUGGCGAUCUCUACGUGACAGUUAGUGAUUAGCGACCAUGCGGACGCGGUAGAUCAGUGCACAGUGAGGGAUCUACUUCUGUGGCCGAGAUAAUCUAACCUGCGUCGCGUCCUCACUCUCACCCUCCAGCUCGAGCUUCUGGCGUUUCGAACGUUCGCCAUCGACCUCUUCCCCGUUUUCGCGUGAUUUCAACAUCGACAAGCUGUAAACAUUGGUACAAAGCUGUCAUCAAUUUUCAGUACACUUAUACGCAUAUUAAUUCACGUUCUCAGAUGUUUUAAUUAAUAAAUCGGUGUCUUUUGUUUAUCAAAAUACACUUGAGCGUGAGUUUAAUUGAAAAUAAACUGUUGAUCUUUUAGGAUCUUUUAGAUAAACGUUGAAUCAUAAAUCUGAAUUUUUUAAAUAUGAGUUGUGAAUUUUAUAUAAAGUUCUCUAUAAAUGUAUGAUAUUUACUAUUGGCUCUUGGAGUAAUGGUACCCGGAAUCGCGGACGACACGACGCGCCAAAGGAAACAAUUCGUCUCUCCUAGUAAGAAGGGCAGGUACGAAUCUGCAAAUUUGCGCCGCUGCUUCAUUCACAGACACCUCGUGCAACGUAAGCGGUUUCUCCGGUUUCCUCUUGCAGUCGAACCUGCCGUAAAUCGCCGCGUACUUCCGAAUUUCGUCCAUUUUGCGCGGAUCACUAUCGGACAUUGUCAUCACCAUCUGUAAUAUAUACAUUCAAAAAGUACAAUUUGCUAUUUUAAUUAAUUUUA